RNAcentral lists this ribosomal RNA (497 nucleotides) under uncultured bacterium. Its description in RNAcentral is "partial 16S ribosomal RNA". It matches the Rfam family "Bacterial small subunit ribosomal RNA", at positions 28 to 507 of the family's 1533-position model. The record is from RNAcentral.
GAUGAACGCUGGCGGCGUGCCUAAUACAUGCAAGUCGAGCGAACAGACGAUGAGCUUGCGCCUCGGACGUGAGCGGCGGACGGGUGAGUAACACGUGGAUAACCUACCUAUAAUACGGGUAUAACUUCGGGAAACGGGAGCUAAUACCGGAGAAGAUAUUGAACCGCGUGGGUCAAUAGUGAAAUACGGUGGUUCUGUCACUUAUAGAUGGAUCCGCGCCGCAUUAGCUGGUUGGUGAGGUAACGGCUUAGCAAGGGAACGAUGCGUAGCCGAAGUGAGAGGGUGAUCGGCCACACUGGAACUGAGACACGGUCAAGGCUCCUAAGGGAGGCAGCAGUAGGGAAUCUUCCGCAAAGGGCGAAAGCAUGACGGAGCAACGCCGCGUGAAUGAUGACGGUCUUCGGAUCGUAAAACUCUGUUAUUAGGGAAGAACCAAUGUGUACGUAACUAUGCACGUCUUGACGGUACCUGAUAAGAAAGCCACGGCUAACUACGUG